UACGAAGGGGGCUAGCGUUACUCGGAUUGACUGGGCGUAAAGGGUGCGUAGGCGGCACUGUUAGUCAGGCGUGAAAGUCCUGGGCUCAACCUGGGAACUGCGCUUGAUACGGCAGAGCUAGAGGAUGGAAGAGGCUCGCGGAAUUCCCAGUGUAGAGGUGAAAUUCGUAGAUAUUGGGAAGAACACCGGUGGCGAAGGCGGCGAGCUGGUCCAUUACUGACGCUGAGGCGCGACAGCGUGGGGAGCAAACAGG
This 253-nucleotide ribosomal RNA is filed under the name uncultured bacterium. RNAcentral describes it as "partial 16S ribosomal RNA". It matches the Rfam family "Bacterial small subunit ribosomal RNA", at positions 524 to 776 of the family's 1533-position model. The record is from RNAcentral.